GCGUGCGGGAAGAAGGCCUUCGGGUUGUAAACCGCUUUUGUCAGGGACGAAAAGGUGCGGGUUAAGAGCUAGCACUGAUGACGGUACCUGAAGAAUAAGCACCGGCUAACUACGUGCCAGCAGCCGCGGUAAUACGUAGGGUGCGAGCGUUAAUCGGAAUUACUGGGCGUAAAGCGUGCGCAGGCGGUUGGGUAAGACAGAUGUGAAAUCCCCGGGCUUAACCUGGGAACUGCAUUUGUGACUGUCCGACUGGAGUAUGUCAGAGGGGGGUGGAAUUCCAAGUGUAGCAGUGAAAUGCGU
Molecule: ribosomal RNA, 300 nt
Filed under: uncultured bacterium
Lineage: Bacteria
Description: bacterial SSU rRNA
Rfam family: Bacterial small subunit ribosomal RNA
Source: RNAcentral